GGUGGCCCAACCCCUUGUGGGAGGGAGCUGUCGAAGGUGGGACUGGCGAUUGGGACGAAGUCGUAACAAGGUAGCCGUACCGGAAGGUGCGGCUGGAUCACCUCCUUU
RNAcentral lists this ribosomal RNA (108 nucleotides) under Streptomyces lancefieldiae. RNAcentral's name for it is "Streptomyces sp. DSM 40712 partial 16S ribosomal RNA". It matches the Rfam family "Bacterial small subunit ribosomal RNA", at positions 1429 to 1533 of the family's 1533-position model. RNAcentral also lists the same sequence under 1 other name. Lineage: Bacteria; Bacillati; Actinomycetota; Actinomycetes; Kitasatosporales; Streptomycetaceae. The record is from RNAcentral.